RNAcentral lists this ribosomal RNA (1521 nucleotides) under uncultured bacterium. Its description in RNAcentral is "16S ribosomal RNA". It matches the Rfam family "Bacterial small subunit ribosomal RNA". The record is from RNAcentral.
GAGUUUGAUCCUGGCUCAGGACUAACGCUGGCGGCGUGCAUAACACAUGCAAGUCGAACGAGAAACCCACCUUCGGGUGGGGAUUAAAGUGGCAGACGGGUGAGUAAUAUAUGAAUAACCUACCCUCAAGUUUGGGACAACCCACCGAAAGGUGAGCUAAUACCGGAUAAGCCCACAACUCCGCAUUGCGGAGAAGGGGGAAAAGGUGGCCUAUGCUUGCAAGCUAUUGCUUGAGGAGGGGUUCAUAUCCUAUUAGCUAGUUGGUGGGGUAAUGGCCUACCAAGGCGAAGAUGGGUAGCCGGCCUGAGAGGGUGACCGGCCACACUGGAACUUAGACACGGUCCAGACUCCUACGGGAGGCAGCAGUGGGGAAUUUUCCGCAAUGGGCGCAAGCCUGACGGAGCAACGCCGCGUGAGGGACGAAGGCUUUCGAGUCGUAAACCUCUGUCGUGUAAGAAGAAAAGCUUCUGAGUUAAUAACUCAGAAGAUUGACUGUACUACAGGAGGAAGCUCCGGCCAACUACGUGCCAGCAGCCGCGGUAAAACGUAGGGAGCAAGCGCUGUCCGGAAUUAUUGGGCGUAAAGGGCGUGUAGGUGGUUAAAUAAGUCGUUUGUUUAAUACGUGAGCUUAACUCGCGACCAGCAUACGAAACUAUUUUGACUUGAGUUUAGGAGAGGAAAGUGGAAUUCCCAGUGUAGCGGUGAAAUGCGUAGAUAUUGGGAAGAACACCAGUGGCGAAGGCGACUUUCUGGACUAAAACUGACACUAAGGCGCGAAAGCCAGGGGAGCGAACGGGAUUAGAUACCCCGGUAGUCCUGGCCGUAAACGGUGAACACUAGGUGUAGGAGGAGUUUUUUCUUUCUGUGCCGAAGCUAACGCAUUAAGUGUUCCGCCUGGGGAGUACGCUCGCAAGGGUGAAACUCAAAGGAAUUGACGGGGGCCCGCACAAGCGGUGGAGCAUGUGGUUCAAUUCGAUGCUACGCGAAGAACCUUACCUAGGCUGGACAUCAAUAUGAAAUCUUUUAGAAAUUUAAGACCUCCAGCAAUGGACAUAUUGACAGGUGCUGCAUGGCUGUCGUCAGCUCGUGUCGUGAGAUGUUGGGUUAAGUCCCGCAACGAGCGCAACCCUUAUCCUUAAUUGCCAGCAAGUAAUGUUGGGCACUUUAGGGAGACUGCUCGCGAUGAGCGAGAGGAAGGUGGGGGUGACGUCAAGUCCUCAUGGCCUUUAUGCCUAGGGCUACACACGUGCUACAAUGGCCGGUACAAAGGGUUGCCAAGCCGCGAGGUGGAGCUAAUCCCAAAAAGCCGGUCUCAGUUCGGAUUGGAGGCUGCAACUCGCCUCCAUGAAGUUGGAAUCGCUAGUAAUCGCUAAUCAGCAGGUAGCGGUGAAUACGUUCCCGGGCCUUGUACACACCGCCCGUCACACCACGAAAGUUGGUUGUACCCANAAACCAUUAUCCUAACCGUAAGGAGGGAGGUGUCUAAGGUAUGGCCAGUGAUUGGGGUGAAGUCGUAACAAG